CAAACAAAAAUAAAAUAUUUGCAAAUAAAAUCAAUUUAAAAGAAGAUUUCAAAAAGAAAAGCAAUAUAAUAUAAAUAACAAAAUGCAAGAUCCUAAACUUAAUGAAAAUGCCAAAGAAUUGGUGAACAAUGUCAAAUUUGAAAAGGAAAAUGUUGGUUGCUGCUGAAUAUUUUAAAACAAAGAAACAAUAAAAUGGACAACAAAACUAUAUGGAGGUUUCUUGUUAUUGAAGAUGAUAAGGACCUUUUAGCAGUGCGUUCAAAAUUAUAUAUGGUGGCAAUUGUAAUGGGAUAUAAUAUUAUCUAUGGUUGGAUUUAUAUGACAUGGCUAAUCAUACAAAUAUUAUUGAUGUCAGCACCAGCAUUUUUGUUUAAAUACAUUUCUUUAAAAUAUGUUGUAUAAAGCAUUUAUAAUUUUAAUUGUUUUUGUUUGUUUAAUUGUUAAUAUCCAAAUUAUUUGUUAUUUUGUAACUAAUAUCAAUCUUUGUUCUUUAACAUGUAACAUUUUGAAAGGGAAUUUUUUCAUAAA
Molecule: long non-coding RNA, 528 nt
Organism: Lucilia cuprina (Australian sheep blowfly)
Lineage: Eukaryota; Metazoa; Arthropoda; Insecta; Diptera; Calliphoridae
Exons: 3
Source: RefSeq, a predicted model, not a curated record